AUUCCAGCUCCAAUAGCGUAUAUUAAAGUUGUUGCGGUUAAAAAGCUCGUAGUUGGAUCUCGGUUUCACUCAGGCGGUACACCUUGCGGUGUUCACUGUCUGGGCGGACGUUUCUGUUGGUUCGCUGUUGGUUCUCUUAAUCGAGUGCCAAUUGGUGGCCAGCACGUUUACUUUGAAAAAAUUGGAGUGCUCAAAGCAGGCGUUACAGCCUGAACAUUAGUGCAUGGAAUAAUGGAAUAGGAUCUCGAUUCUAUUUCGUUGGCUUUCGGAGUCGAGGUAAUGAUUAAUAGGGACAGACGGGGGCAUUCGUACUGCGACGUUAGAGGUGAAAUUCUUGGAUCGUCGCAAGACGAACUACUGCGAAAGCAUUUGCCAAGAAUGUUUUCAUUAAUCAAGAACGAAAGUUAGAGGUUCGAAGGCGAUCAGAUACCGCCCUAGUUCUAACCAUAAACGAUGCCAACCGGCGAUCCGUCGUCGUUAAUUGAAUGACUCGACGGGCAGCCUCCGGGAAACCAGAGUGUUUGGGUUCCGGGGGAAGUAUGGUUGCAAAGCUGAAACUUAAAGGAAUUGACGGAAGGGCACCACCAGGAGUGGAGCCUGCGGCUUAAUUUGACCCAACACGGGAAAUCUCACCAGGCCCGGACACCGGAAGGAUUGACAGAUUGAGAGCUCUUUCUUGAUUCGGUGGGUGGUGGUGCAUGGCCGUUCUUAGUUGGUGGAGCGAUUUGUCUGGUUAAUUCCGAUAACGAACGAGACUCUGGCCUACUAACUAGAAGGGUCGUUCUUUACGAGCGGCCCUCUGCUUCUUAGAGGGACGGGCGGCGUUUAGCCGCACGAGAAUGAGCAAUAACAGGUCUGUGAUGCCCUUAGAUGUUCUGGGCUGCACGCGCGCUACACUGAAGGAAUCAGCAUGUUCUCCCCUCCCUGAAAAGGGCGGGUAACCCGUUGAAACUCCUUCGUGAUGGGGAUUGGAGAUUGUAAUUAUUCUCCAUGAACGAGGAAUUCCCAGUAGGCGCGAGUCAUCAGCUUGCGUCGAUUACGUCCCUGCCCUUUGUACACACCGCCCGUCGCUACUACCGAUCGAGUGAUUUAGUGAGGACUUCGGACUGGUCUCCAAGUUGGCUUCGGUCAGCUCGGAGUUCCGGAAAGAUGCCCAAACUUGAUCACUUAGAGGAAGUAAAAGUCGUA
Molecule: ribosomal RNA, 1188 nt
Filed under: metagenome
Description: SSU rRNA
Rfam family: Eukaryotic small subunit ribosomal RNA
Source: RNAcentral